This 16176-nucleotide long non-coding RNA is filed under the name Capsicum annuum. RNAcentral describes it as "long non-coding RNA (CANN_LNC012044)". The record is from RNAcentral. Lineage: Eukaryota; Viridiplantae; Streptophyta; Magnoliopsida; Solanales; Solanaceae.
CAUUUCCUUUAUCAAGUGUUAAGUAUAUGUAUGUGUGUAUUGAAGUAGUUGGACUGAUUUUUGACUCAUUUUUUCAGAUAUUUUGUUCAUGUAAUGAGAACUCAUCUUAUUCUCUCUUCUCUCUAGAACCUUCUCAUAAAUCUGGGUUUACAUUCAUGGUAUUUGAGAGCUUUCAGCUUCAUUCCAUGUUUUCAUGGUAUCAAAGCCUCGAGAUUCUGAGAGAUCUGCUUAUCAUAUUUUGAGCGGUGGUACCCUAGGUCAUUUUUUGCCAAUUAUUUCUGCGUGAUUUUGGUAUUUGCUGCGUGUAUUUUGUGGAUUUUUGUUUGUGGAGCUUCGAACAUGGCUGGUUUUCCCUUCGAUUGAAUUUUUUGUGGAUUGCAUUUAUUUCGGCAAUGUUGAACAAGGCUCACUUCUUCGAGUUUUGAAGAAGACCGGUAACCUCUCUCCUUGCAGAAUUAGGGUUUUUUUGUGUCUUAGUGGUCAAUUGAUUACGAGCAAUGGCUUCGACUUGCCACAAUUCUCUGUCUACUAGUGUCAGUACUAUUCCCCACACUCAUCCGUUGUAUCUUCACCCUUCCGACUAUCCCCGUAUGGUGCUUGUCACCACGCCGUUUAAUGGAACUGGUUAUGGUAGCUGGAGAAGGGGAAUGUUGAUUUCUCUCUCUGCUAAGAGGAAAUUAGGUUUUAUUGAUGGAAAGGUAGUCAAGCCCCUACCUACUGAUCCAUUUAUGAUGCCUGGGUUAUGUGUAACGAUAUGGUUAUUGCGUGGAUAUUGAAUAGCUUAGAUAAAGAGAUAGCUGAAACUGUGAUUCAUACAGAGACUGCUGGUGAUAUUUGGAAGGAAAUAGAAAAGAGAUAUGGUCAGGCUAGUGGCACGAAAGUGUUUCAAAUAAGAAAAGAGAUUUCUUCUAUAACUCAAGGAUCUUCUAGUAUAGCCUCAUAUUUUAAUAGAAUUAAAAGACUGUGGAAUGAAUUGAACAUUUCUAUUGCUUACCCUCCUUGCACUUGUGCAUGUAAGGAUCAAUGCGUGAAACUAGAACAAGAUCAAAGGGUUCACCAGUUUUUAGCUGGUUUAAAUGAGUCUUAUGCUGGAAUCAGGAGAAACAUAUUGAUGAUACUCCAUGCUCAUACGUGAUGAGCAACAGUCUGAACUUUAGGUCUCUAUUCCUGCAUUUGCUUCUGAGUCCACUUCCUUUGUUGCUAGUGUGCAAAGAUUUCCUCCUGGGGUUGCAGAUAUCCUCCUAAAUACCCUGCUGGUGGAGGGGGACAAAGAUACCUCAACAGGGUAAAUUUUGACUCCACCACCUGAUCUAAUUCUAAUAAUAAUGUCUCUUCUUCCAUAUUUUGCAAAUAUUGCAAGAAACCAGAACACCUCAUUGGAAAUUAUCGCAAGCUUCAUGGUUAUAAUGAAAAUCUGAAAAUAAUAAGAGCAAAUAUGGGGCUGGUAUGGCAAAUUGUGCACAGAAUGCAAUGUCUGCAGUGUCAUCCACUACAUCUUCUUCUGGGGCUAUUAAUUUCGAAGCUUCUCUCCAUGGUUCAGUAAAGAACAACAUGACCACAUCCUCUCCAUUCUUCAGCAAAAUAACAUACAAGAUUCUGGAUUGUGUGCUUCUACAAACUUUUCAGUGUGACUAGUCUGUCUGCCUAUAAUAUUUGUUGUUUUUUUGCAUGUCAUCUCUAUCAGAUGUAUGGCAAUCCCUGGAUUUUAGAUUUUUGGAGCUACAAAUCAUAUGACACCUCAUAGAAACCUCCUUAUAGAUGUAAAACCUCUUACCACUCCAUAUCUUAUAUCUUUACCAGAUGGAUAUAAAGUAAAAGUGACCUGUACAAGUUCUUUACCUUUAUACACUAAUAUGAUAUUACAUAAUGUUCUUUUGGUUCCUAGUUUUCAAUAUAACCUCAUUUCCCUGCACCAAUUACUUUUUUAAUUUGAUUGUGUUGCUCAUUUCAGUGUUACAUCAUGUGUUUUGCAGGACCAUUCUCUGAAGAGGCCACUGGAAGUUGGUAAGCUCUCCAAUGGACUAUACAUACUUUAGCUGAAUAGUUCCACUUAACAAGACAUUACUGAUGGUGCUCCUGAUGUUUCCUCCGCAGUUUCUUCUUCUGUUCCUUUUACUGCUGAUCCUGUUUCCACUCCCAAUGUAAAGUUUUUAGAACAUCCUUUACUGCAUGAUGAUAUUUUUAGUAAUGAAUGUACUGUAAAUAUUUUCUCUUUAAAUAAAACAGAGUUCAGUUUUGAUAAAUCUGUUCCACUUAUUGCUUCUGUUUCCAUUGAUAAUGUUCUUUUACCUACUUCUUUCCCAAAUACUGAUAUAACUACCUCAAACAUCUUUUGGCAUCAAUGUCAUAACCCGAACCGAGGCCCUGGCCGUGACGAGCAUCCCGAACUAUGAAGGCCCGGACACCCUUCUAACUUGAAAUCAUAUACACCAUUCAUACAUAAAUAAGGAAAGACGAAAAUUAUAGCAAGACGGAAUCAUGGUCGUAAAUCUGAUAUAAAUUUAGUAUUGAAGAAUGAAAUCCAAAACUAACUAGCAACAUUUGCAAACCGUCUACGAAAUCUCUACUACAUACUCUCUAAUACAGUCGGAAUGCUGGGACAAGGCCCCCAGUAGACCAAAACCGUAACCACUAAUAAUUGUCUAAAAAUAAAUAGGCCUUCCGGAAUAUAGAAGGCUCACCAACUGGAAACUGCAACUCUGUCUGAUGAAUUCUACUGCUUAUCUAGACCCCUAGACUGAGCCUCAGAACCUGAGAGGUAGGGGGGUCAAUACAAUGUACUGGUAUGCAAAGUAAUCCAAAAUAAAACUUUUAUAUAAGUAAAAUAGUGGAGAGCGAUAUGUUAAAACAUCCUGUAUAAAGAUUUCUCAAAACAUAUGGGCACUUUCUGAAAAUCACAAAUCAUUCUUGUCAAUGCAAUGUAUGAUCUUUGUAUUACUUUUGAGCUAGGUGGCACUCCCCUACAACUCUGAUAUUCUACGGGCUAUAUGGAAUCUGCCAUUGACUCAAUGGGGAAGCCCCCAACCCAAGUAUGCCGCAAGGGUUGGAGUCUCUAAUUCUGAUACGCCACACAACACUAGGCCAGCGUAAUAUAAUAUACCCGAAUCGGCAAAUCACUAUUUUGGGCAAUGAGUUAUCUGAAAUCGUGUCCUCUUCAGGGAACCACCUAACAUUUAUUUAUGCCCUAUUUUAGCCUUUUCUGAACAUGCAUCAUUCUAAAAUUCUAAAACAUGAAAGUCUGAUUUUUGUAUCAGUUUGUGUCUGUUAUGGAAUUAUCGGAGUUGGUAUCGUCAUACCUAGACUUGCAAGUUGAAAUUGUAAUCCAUAAUGCUUUAAGCAUAAUUCUUUCAUUAAAACUCAAUUCAAACCACCCAGCUUUGCAAAUAGUAUAAGAGAUUUCAUGUUCCGAAGCAUAAGUCAAAACUAUGCAAGAAUCAUUCAAACAUAUGGUGGUCAUGUGCUUUUGGCAAAAAUCAUGCACUCUUUCAUUAUAUGCAUAUUUUUAACAUUUAUCAACACAUCUACCCUCUCUUUUGAAAUCCAAAUCUUAAUCCAAAUAAUAACACAAUUCAAGACAUUCUAAACCAUGCUUUUCAAGGAUGCAUUCAAAACAAUCUAUAGCAUAUGAUAAGUAAAGGAAAAUCAAACAAGAGAGGGAUUUUUUACAUAAGUCAUGCUCUCAAUUAAAUCAUCAAACUUAAAACACAAGAAUACAUAUAUAUACAAUUUCAAAUCGAUGUAAGGGAAGGUCAAAAGACCAAAACAAUACCAUCAAGAUUUCCAAAACAUGAAUGUAUUCAUAAAUAUGAAAACCUUUUCUUAAAAUCAUGAUUUCUAUGCCCAUGAAAUUUUAGAAAAACCCCGCAUACCUUGAUUAUGAAGAAUAAGGGAUGCUCCUUGAAGCCUACGGUUUGGGUAUUUCAAAACUCUGAUAAAUUUCGAAAACUUACGGUUGAAUCUUGAGUUUCUUGGAGGAGAAGUAUAUGAACUAGUGUUUUGUUCUGAAGGAAAUCUUGAGAAUGUCGAAUAUUAUGCUUGUAGAGGUCUUAAUCUCCUGUUUGGACGUUUUAAGAGACUUGGAAAAAGUCCAAACUACCCUUGUUAACUUCUGAACGAAACUGGAAAAAUAUAAACUGGGAACCCAAUCUUAUGGGCCACCGCAACGCGCCACUAUCGCGGUGGCUCACUGGAAAUUGAUGAAUCGGAAUUUGGCCCACUCCGUGAUGUGCCACCAUAGCGGAGUCUCACUAGAAAUUGACCAUCAUCAUUUACACCCUCUACGUGAUGCGCCAAAGACAGGAAUGACGGUGUUUUACAACUAGGACUUAAAUUAACCAUAACUCCUUCACCAAGUGUCCGUUUUGGACGAUCUUAUGUCAGUAGAAAACUUAUUCGAUCACCUACAUGAUGAAAAGUUGAAAUCUAAGGAAUUCCACAGAGAAAUAAGUAUAAAUCAUUCUAGAAGCCAAUGCUUGAUACUUUAGGGACAAAAAUUUAGCUAGGAAAAACUUCGGGGCAUUACAAUAUCCCCCUUUGGAACAUUCGUCCCCGAAUGUUGACGCGGGACAUAGAUAAGCAUAAUUUCAAGGAUACUAAGGCAUAGAAAGAAUAAGGCAAGGAUUGUACCUUCCAUUGGAUCAAAAAGGUUUGGGUAUCUAGCUCUCAUGUCAACUUUUGAUUCCCAAGUUGCUUCUUCAAUUUUUUGGUUUCUCCACAACACUUUAACUGAGGCUGUCUCUUUGUUCCUAAAUCUUCGAACUUGGCGAUCCAAAAUUUCUACAGGUUUUUCUUCAUAGGAUAAGGAAUCUGUCACUUUGAUUUCUUUGACAGGCAACACUAAAGAAUGGUCUCUGAUGCACUUCUUCAACAUAGAUAUAUGAAAUACCGGAUGGACAGAACCCAAACUAGCAGGCAAAUCUAACUCAUAGGCAACUGCACCUACCCCUCUCAAAAUCUGAUAUGGUCCUAUAUAAUGAGGACUCAACUUACCUUUCUUCCCAAACCGCAUGACUCCCUUCAUAGGAGAAACUUUUAGAAACACCCAAUCUCCAACCUCAAACUUUAGAUCUCUUCUCCUAACAUCGGCGUAGGAUUUUUGAUGACUCUGAGCUGUCUUAAGUCGUUCUCUAAUGACUUUCACAUGCUCCAUUGCCUGAUGAACAAGAUCAAGCCCAAAUAUCUGCAUCUCACCUACUUCAUACCAUCCUAUCAGAGACCUACAUCUUUUCUCAUACAAUGCCUCAAAUGGUGCCAUCUUAAUACUCGAAUGGAAACUGUUAUUAUAUGCGAAAUCUAUCAAUGGAAAGUGCUCUACCCAACUACCUUUAAAAUCAAUCAUGCAGACCCUCAACAUAUCCUCAAGGGUUUGGAUGAUGCACUCAACUUGCCCGUCUGUCUGAGGGUGGAAAGUCGUGCUCAAAUUCACUUGGGUACCUAAACCCUUUUGAAACGAUCUCCAAAACUGAGAAGAAAACUGUGUACAUCGGUCAGAUAUGAUGGAUACAGGUGCCCCAUGCAAAUGAACUAUUUCUGCAAUGAAUAGCUUGGCAUAAUCCUCUCUCGAAUAAUUAGUCCUGGCAGGUAGAAAGUUAGCUGACUUGGUCAACCUAUCUACAAUUACCCAAAUGGAAUCAUACUGGUUUCGGGACCUCGGAAGUCCCGUAAUAAAGUCCAUAUUAAUCAUCUCCCACUUCCACAAAGGCAAAGCUAUCUCUUGAGAAGAAACACCUGGCCUCAUAUGUUCCACUUUAACUUGUUGACAAUUCAAAUACUUGGCAACAUAGUUAGCCACAUCACGCUUCAUAUUAGUCCACAAAUAAAUGGUUUUCAAAUCACGAUAUAUCUUAGUAGAGCCAGGGUGAACAACAUACCUCAAUGUGUGAGCUUCGUCAAGGAUUCUCUUCCUCAGACCAUCUACAUAUGGCACACACAACCUGCCCUGGUGUCUCAAAAUACCAUUACCACCAACUUUAAAUGAUAUUACCAUUUGUUGACCCACAUCUUUCUUGAUCUGCAUCAAGAUGGGAUCUUCAACCUGCUUCUCUUUAACUUCUGCACAAAGGGAAGAUUUAGCUGUCUCAUGAACAACUACUCCUCCAUCCUCAGAAUCCAAAAGUCGCACUCUUAGAAUUGCAAGUCGGUGGAUAUCCUUCACCAUAUCCCUUUAUUGUUUCCCUACAUGAGAAAGACUGUCCAUAGAUAACCUGCUAAGGGCGUCGGCUACCACAUUCGCCUUGCUCUGAUAAUAGUACAGGCUCAUGUCAUAGUCCUUUAAAAGUUCCAACCAUUGCAUCUGCCUGAGAUUCAAUUCUUUUUGCAAGAAAACAUACUGUAAAAUCUUGUGGUUAGUAAAUAUAACAAUAUGUACCCCAUACAAAUAGUGUCGCCAGAUCUUAAGUGCAAAAACCACAGCUGUUAACUCCAAGUCAUGAGUAGGGUAGUUCCGCUCAUGCACCUUCAACUGCCUAGAUACAUAAGCCAUUACCUUAUCGUGUUGCAUAAGAACACACCCAAGUCUAACUCGAGAUGCAUCACAAUAUACAACAAAACCUUCUGUACCCUCCGAAAGAGUUAAAAUAGGAGCAGUAGUCAACUUAUCUUUCAACUUCUCAAAACUAUUCUCAUAAGAGUCAGACCAUAAAAACUUCAUCUUUUUUUAAGUCAACUUAGUAAGUGGUGCAGCUAUGGAUGAAAAACUCUUUAUAAACCUUCUGUAAUAACCCGCCAAACCCAAGAAGCUCUGAAUAUCGGUUGGAGUCGUGGGUCUGGACCAUUUCCUCACUGCCUCAACCUUUUGGGGAUCAACCUUAAUCCCCUCACUAGACACAAUGUACCCCAAGAAAGAAAUAGUAUUUAACUAGAAUUCACACUUAGAGAACUUUGCAUACAACCUGUGAUCUUUGAGAGUCUGGAGGAUAAUUCGGAGGUGAUUGGCAUGGUCCUCCUCACUUUUGGAAUAAAUCAAGAUAUCAUCAAUAAAAACUAUGACAAACAAGUCUAGAAACUAGCAGAAGACCCUAUUCAUUAGGUCCAUGAAGGCUGCAGAGGCGUUAGUCAACCCAAAGGACAUGACUAGCAAUUCAUAAUGACCAUAUCUAGUUUGGAAAGCUGUCUUGUGAAUGUCUGACUCCCUAAAUUUCAAUUGAUGAUAUCCUGAUCAAAGGUCUAUUUUAGAAAAGUACUUGGCACCCUGAAGUUGGUCAAACAAAUCAUCAAUCCUAGGAAGUGGAUACUUAUUUUUGAUAGUGACCUUGUUUAACUGGUGAUAAUCUAUGCACAUACGCAGGGAACCAUCUUUCUUUCGCACGAAAAGUAUAGGUGCACCCCAGGGGAAAACACUAGGAUGGAUAAAACCUUUAUCUAGGAGGUCUGCUAGCUGCUCUUUCAACUCUUUCAACUCUGCUGGAUCCAUUCUAUAUGGCGAAAUAGAGAUGGGAUGGGUGUCUAGCAACACAUCUAUGCCAAAAUCUAUCUCCCUAUCAGGUGGUAUUCCUGGGAGUUCAUCUGGAAAGACUUUUGGGAAUUCAUUUACUACAGGGACAGACUGAAGAGGAAGACUUUCGGUGUUAGAAUCUUUAACCUAAAUAAAAUGGUACAAGAAACCUUUGGAAAUGAGUUUACGGGCCCUGAGAUAAGAUAUGAAGUGCCCUCUAGGAGCUAAAGAAUACCCUUCCCAUUUUAUUAUUGGCUCAUUCAGAAAAUAAAAAGUAACCUUUAGGGUUCUACAAUCUAGUGUGGCAUAACACGAAUGGAGCUAGUCCAUCCCUAGGAUAGCAUUAAAAUCAACCAUAUCAAGCUCUAUGAGAUCGGCCACAGUAUCCCGGCUAAGAAUAGACACAACACAAUUUUUAUUUAUCUUCUUAGCCAUAACAAAAUCACCCUCCAGAGUGGAAACAGCGAAAGGGUCAGUAAUGACUUCGGGCUCAAACCUAAAACCAACAGCCACAUAUGGGUCACAUAAGACAAGGUAGACCCAGGAUUAAGUAACACCUAAACAUCAUGGGAAAAGAUUCGUAACAUACCGGUGACAACAUCAGGUGAGACCUCUGCCUCCUAGCGGUUAGUCAAAGCGGACAACCGGUUGCGACCGCUUUCGGUAGAUAAAGUAGCGCCCUUUUGAGGCGGUGGUGGUGCGGAAGAAUUUUCCUGAGAUUUUGCACCACCAACAUUCCUUCUAGCAGAUAGACAAUCCCUCUGUAAGUGACUCGGCUAACCACAUGAAUAACAUACAAAUGCGCCCCACUGACACCUUCUUGGACGAUUCCUACCACAAGUCUCACACCGGGGAAAAGUAUGAUACGGCGGAGCCACACUACCCUGUGACUGAGUAUCCUGAGCUCUAGAUCCCUGAUUAGUCUGGAAACUCUGAGAUCUUCUAUCAACUGGAGGUCUGGACGCUGGGGCGCUGCCUGCAGAUUGUGCAUUACCCCAACUCUUCUUCUUCUGCCAUUUAUUACCCAACUUACCACUUUGCGGCUGACUGUGAUGUUGAUUUGCUGUUCUGGCUCUUUGUGCCUGCCUGUCUUUCUCUCUAGACUCAGCAAUUUUCUUUUCUUUUCUUCUACUUGUUGCAUAUGGACUGACAGCCUAGCAAAGUCUAUAUCCCUAUUUAGCAUCGCCCCUUGACAUUUAAGCACUAGAUCAUCUAAAAGGCCGGAUGUAAACUUCCUCAUUCAGGCUCUCAUAUUGCUAGUCAUCUCUGGUGCUUAACGGGCUAAUUGGUUAAACUUCAAAGUGUACUCCUGGACAUUCAUAUUUUCCUGCUUCAGAUUCAUAAACUCCUCAGCUUUGGCCUCCCUCAACUCUAGAGAAAAGAAUCGAUUAAGGAAGGCUUCCACAAAUUCACCCCAAACUGUGGGCUCAGCACUCUCUUCCUUCGCAUCCUUCCACUCGUUAUACCACUGAUUUGCCAUAUCCUUGAGCUGAUAAGUUGCCAACUCCAGCCCUUCUAUUUCCUCCACAUGCAUCACCUUAAAGAUCUUCUCCAUCUCAUCCACAAACUCCUGUGGAUCUUCUUCUGCCUUGGUGCCAGUAAACUUGGGUGGGUUCAUUCUCAUGAACUGACCCACCCUAGUAGCCUCAGAUGUAACAGAAUUAAAAAUAUCUCUCUGAGAAGUCGGGGGACGGUUAACAUUGGUCUGUGGAGUCUGAGGUGGACUGGUCGGUACUGGAGGUACUCUCGGAGUAUGAACAGGUUCUGGGGUGAGAGCUCUAUUACGGGUCCACAUCCUGUGAGUGGGACAGACCUCAUCUGUCUGUGCAUUCUGAUCGAUAGUGCGACGAGGAGGCAUGAUCGAUUUUUUUCUGGAUAGCAAGAGAGCAUUGAUUAGAGGCAGAUUAGACUCCAAAGCACAUACUAGAUCAUAAAGAGGGGAAACAUUCCUAAACGCCUAGUAGCCCCCUGCUUAUAAGUGUGGUGCACUACACACCCAUAAAUAAGACUCUACCCAACGUGAUUUCGCAGACACCCUGGGAUCAUGAACCAUGCUCUGAUACCAAGUUUGUCACGACCCAAAUCGAGGUCCUGGCCGUGAUGAGCAUCCCGAACCAUGAAGGCCCGGACACCCUUCUAACUUGAAAUCAUAUACACCAUUCAUACAUAAAUAAGAAAACACAAAAAUUAUAGCAAGACAGAAUCAUGGUCAUAAAUCUGAUAUGAAUUUAGCAUUGAAGAACGAAAUACAAAACUAACUAGCAACAUCUAAAAAUCGUCUAUGAAAUCUCUACUACAUACUCUCUAACAUAGUCUAAAUGCUGGGACAAGGCCCCAAUAGACCAAAACCGUAACCACUAAUAAUUGUCUGAAAAUAAACAGGCCUUCCAAAAUAUAGGAGGCUCACCAACUGGACACUGCAACUUUGUCUGAUGAAUUCUACUGCUUAUCUGAACCCCUAAACUGAGCCUCAUAACCUAAGAGGUAGGGAGAGGGGGUUCAAUACAAUGUAUUGGUAUGCAAAGUGAUCCAAAAUAAAACUUUUAUAUAAGUAAAAUAGUAGAGAGCGAUAUGUUAAAACAUCCUGCAUAAACAGUUCUCAAAACACAUGGGCCCUUUCUGAAAAUCAUAAAUCAUUCUUAUCAAUGCAAUGUCUGAUCUUUGUAUUACUUCUGAGCUAGGUGGCACUCCCCUACAACUCUGAUAUUCCACGGGCUAUAUGGAAUCCUCUAUUGAAUCGGCGGGAAAGCCCCCAACCCAAGUAUACUGCAAGGGUUAGAGUCUCUGAUUCUGAUACACCACACGGCACUAGGCCAGCGUAAUAUAAUAUACCCGAAUCGGCAAAUCACAAUUUUGGAAAAUGAGUUAUCUGAACUCGAUCCCUCUUCAGAGAACCACCUAACCUCUCUUUAUGCCCUAUUUUAGCAUUUUUUGAACAUACAUUAUUCUGAAAUUCUAAAACAUGAAAGUCUAAUUUUUGUAUCAGUCUGUAUCUGUUAUGGCAUUGUCUGAGUUGAUAUCGUCAUACCAAGACUUGCAAGUCAAAAUUCUAAGCCAUAAUGCUUUAAGCAUAAUUCUUUCAUUAAAACUCAAUUUAGACCACCCAGCUUUGCAAAUAGUAUAAGAGAUUUCAUGUUCCGAAGCAUAAGUCAAAACUAUGCAAGAAUCCUUCAAACAUAUGGUGGUCAUGUGCUUUUGCAAAAUAUCAUGCACUCUUUCAUUAUAUGUAUAUUUUUAACAUUUAUCAACACAUCUACCCUCUCUUUUGAAAUCCAAAUCUUAAUCCAAAUCAUAACACAAUUCAAGACAUUCUAAACCAUGUUUUUCAAGGAUGUAUUCAAAACAAUCUAUAGCAUAUGAUAAGUAAAGGAAAAUCAAAUAAGAGAGGGAUUUUUACAUAAGUAAUGCUCUCAAUUAAAUUAUCAACCUUAAAACACAAGAUUUCUAAAACAUGAAUGUAUUCAUAAAUCUGAAAACCCCUUUCUUAAAACCAUGAUUUCUAUACCCAUGAGAUUUUAGGAAAACCCCGCGUACCUCGAUUAUGAAGAAUAAGGGCUUCUCCUUGAAGCCUAUGGUUUGGGGAUUCCAAAACUCUAAUAAAUUUCGAAAACCUACGGUUGAAUCUUGAGUUUCUUAGAGGAGAAGUAUAUGAACUAGGGUUUUUGUAUUUGAAGAAAAUCUUGAGAAUGACGAAUAUUAUGCUUUUAGAGGUCUUAAUCUCCUAUUUGGACCUUUUAAGAGACCUGGAAAAAGUCCAAACUACCCUUGUUAACUUCUGAACAAAACUGGAAAAAUUUAAACUGGGAAUCUGAUCUUAUGGGCCACCGCAACGCGCCACUAUCGCAGUGGCUCACUGAAAAUUGACGAAUGGGAAUUUGGCCCACUCCGUGAUGUGCCACCAUUGCGAAGUCUCACUGAAAAUUGACCAUCUUCAUUUACACCCGCUCCGCGAUGCGCCAAAGAUAGGAAUUAUGGUGUUUUACAACUAGGACUUAAAUUAACCAUAACUCCUUCACCGAGUGUCUGUUUUGGACGAAUCUUAUGUCGGCGGAAAACUUAUUUGAUCACCUAAGUAAUGAAAAGUUGAAAUCUAAGGAAUUCCACAUGAAAAUAAGUAUAAAUCAUUCUAGAAGUCAAUGCUUGAUACUUUAGGGACAAAAAAUUAGCUAGGAAAAACUUCGGGGUGUUACAAUCAAAGAUUGGGACAUAUACCUUUUUCCAAAAUAAAAUCCAUAAGAUACUUAAAGUCUUUGCUACCACCCAAACAAACUUUCACCUGCGGUAUUUGUCUUAUGGCAAGGCAACAAAGGCUGCCUUUGGGGUCCUUACCACACUCAAACAUAUAAUGGAUAUAGGUAUUUUUUAACCAUUAUUGAUGACUAUACCAGAUGUACUUGGACUCAUUUUUUAUCUACCAAGUCCAAUGCCUUUACCUUAAUCAAAUCUUUCUUUUUUUAUGUGCUGAAUCAGUUUCAUAUUUCCAUUCAAAAUAUUAGAUCUGAUAAUGCUUUUGAGUUGGGGUCUAGUUUUGAGGAAAUUAAAUUCUUUUUUGAUCAUGGUAUAUUUCAUCAAACCUCUUGUUCUCAGACACCACAACAAAAUGGUGUUGUAGAAAGAAAACACAGACAUUUACUUGAAACUUCUAGGGCCCUAAUUUUUCAAUCCAAACAUCCUCUUAAAUAUUGGGGUGAAUGUAUUUUGGCUGCCACUUAUCUAAUAAAUAGAUUUCCUUCCCCUUUAUUGCACAAUAAAACUCCUUUUGAACUUUUACACGGAUCUGUUCCCUUUUAUGGUCAUCUUAGAUGCUUUGGCUGCUUGUGUUAUGCUGCAGUUCCCAUUUCUCAAAGGGACAAAUUAUCCUCUAGAUCAAUUCCUUCAGUGUUUCUUAGAUAUCCUACUGGAAAAAAAGCUACAAACUUCUUUCCUUAUCAUCUCAUAAAUUUUUUUUCCAAAGAUGUUAUUUUCAAUGAAUACAUUUUUCCUUAUGCAUCUCUUCCUUCCUCUACUCUAUUUCCUUCCACUUCUGUUCUUGUAGUUGCAAAUUAUUCUACGCCUAUGUCUUCAUCUUCUCCUUCUCCAACUAUACUUUGUUGAUCUACUAGGUCCAUCACCACACCUUCCUACCUCAAUGAUUAUGUAUGCUCCUUUAUUUCUACCUCCAAUAUGGCAUCCACUCCUGUUGAGAUUGCUAUGAAUGAACCUCAAUCUUAUAGACAGGUUGCUGUCCAUCCUGAGUGACAGGCUGUAAUGUUAAAAGAGUUUCAAGCUUUGGAGUCUAAUAGGACUUGAGAUAUUGUGCCCCUGUCACCCGGUAAGAGGGCCAUUUCUUCUAAAUAGGUAUAUGAGAUUAAACAGCAAGAUGAUGGCUCCAUUGAAUGCUAUAAAGCUCGUUUGUUCAUAGGGGGUACCCAACAAAAAGGUGUCGAUUAUUUUGAAACCUUUUCUCCGGUUGUUAAAAUGACCACGAUAAAAAUGUUUGUUGGUUGUUGCUGUUAAGAAACAUUGGAAAAUUUUCCAACUUGAUGUGAAUAAUGUUUUCUUACAUGGGGAUCUAGAUGAAAAGGUUUAUAUGAAAAUCCCACAAGGCUUAGAAGUGCCUGACUCUGUCUCUGGCCAUUUGGUGUGUAAGUUACGUAAAUCUUUGUAUGGACUCAAACAAGCCUCUAGACAAUGGUAUGCGAAAUUUUCUUCAGCUUUGUUGUCCCGUGGUUAUGUUUUCAGUGUCAAUAAUUACUCUAUUUUUAAGAAAGUUUCUGGUGCUUUCAUUGCUAUUAUGGUUGUUUAUGUUGAUGACAUUUUGUUAGUUGGGGAUGAUGUUGUUAAGCUUAAUUCCCUUAAAUUGUUUCUUGAUGAAAGUUUUAAGAGGACUUGGGUGAGGCCCAUUAUUUUCUGGGAUUGGAGAUACUUCGCAAACCUACUGGACUGUUGGUUACUCAAUGGAAAUUUGUUUCUGAUUUACUUUCAGAAUUUCAUUGUUCUACUGUUACACCUGUUGUUAUCCCCUUGGAGUUGUAUGGUAAACUUUCUGCUGAUUCUGGUGUCCCUUGUUCUGACCCAAGUUAAUAUAGAAAGUUUGUGGGCAAGUUGAAUUUUCUACAACACACUCGUCCUGACAUAUCUUUUGAGGUUCAACACCUUAGUCAAUUUAUGCAUUGUCCUCGCUUACUGUAUUUUGAGGCUGGUUUACAUGUUCUUCAAUAUAUGGCUGGUGCUCCUGGAUUGGGUAUUUUUUUUAAUGAUUCUCCAGACUUCUCUCUCAUUGGUUACUGUGAUUCGGACUGGGUUGGUUGUUCCCAAACCAGACGCUCCAUCUUUGGUUUUUAUGUGUUUUUGGGUGGCUCUUCGAUUUCCUGGAAGUCCAAGAAACAACCUACUAUUGCUCUUUCUUCAGCUGAAGCUGAAUAUCGAGCUCUUCGAAAAAUUGUAGCUAAAAUUUCCUGGCUUGUUCGCUUACUUGGUGAUUUUAGUUUGGGUAAUAUUUGUCCUAUAGAUGUGUUUUGCGAUAAUCAGGCUGCUUUUCGUGUAGCCAAGAAUCCCGUGUUUCAUGAACGUACGAAGCACAUAGAGGUAGACUGCCAUUUUGUUCGGGUGGCUCUUACUGCUGGGCUGAUUUCUUUGCAAUAUGUUCCCACUGCUCUACAACUGGCUGAUAUUCUUAUGAAGCCCUUGACUGGUGUUCAACACAACAACUUGCUUUCCAAGCUGGGACUGGUUUCCAUCUCGCCGGGGGAUAUUAGAAAUAAUAUAGUUGGGCUUCAGCCUCCUUAGCCUAUUGUUUAUUACAUAGUGGGCCUGAUCUUUAAUGUUUGUAUCCGGUCCAUUUCCUUUAUCAAGUGUUAAGUAUAUGUAUGUGUGUAUUGAAGUAGUUGGACUGUUUUUUGACUCAUUUUCAUGUAAUUAAAACUCAUCUUCUUCUCUCCUCUCUAGAACCUUCUCAUAAAUCUGGGUUUACAUUCAUGGUAUUUGAGAGCUUUCAGCUUCAUUCCAUGUUUUCACCCCCCACCCCCCAACCAAAAAAAAAAGUUAUUUGAGCUAAACUGGAUUAGGUUGAAUGGACUAAAAUGUGGGUCAUAACAACAUACAGUCAAUUCUUAUUAAGUUUUAAUUGCUCUAUUUAGUCUUUUAUAAAGUUUAAAUGCUUAAUAAAUUCUUUUUUUUCCUUCACUAUUAAUAUUUAUAAUAUAUCAAAUAAUUAUUUUUUAAAAUAUUUUGACAAUAUUUUUCAUAAACCAAUUUUGGUUACAUCUGUUCAAUUCUUAAUAGGCUGAAAUAGGUUGAACUAAAGAAUGAGUGUAUCAAUAACCCAUCCAAACUUAAAUGGUUUGACGGAUUGGAUUGGAUUGGAUUUUGCCGCCUCUAGUUACUUAUGAAAGCAAAUAAGGAAUGGGCUCUUCACAACUUAAAUCAAAAGUUCAUUCAGGCAUUUUACCAAUGCCGAACAGUAUACACAUCUAGUCACAACAAUCUCAUCUCUAUAUAUACUAAUUAAUACAUAUUCCGUAAAAAGUCUUAAUCAGUAAUAUGAUGUAUAACUGCUACAUUUUUAAAAAGAAUGUGUUCAUGAUUUUUAUCACUACUCUUUUCACUUACUAUUCAACAAUGUUUAUCAUCAUACCUAGAUCAGUACCACCAUUACUAUCAAUCAUCUCUAUCUAUCUCUCUCUCUAUAUAUAUAUGUCAUUAGCUUCUUAAAUUACCCUCAAACUUUCAAUUUGUUUUUGUUUUUGCAUUGGCACGGAGUUUAAGAAAUUUAAAAAAAGACUUUUAAAUUUGCACAGAGGGUGUGGCCUAGUGGUAAAUGAAGUGGUUGGGAGUCAAGAGACCAGGUUCAAAUAUCAAUGGAGAAAAAAUACUUGGUGAUUUUUUUUCAUUUGUCAUAGCAUUGGUGGACAAAGCUAAUUAAUGUUGGUGUAUAUGCAUUUUAUUAUUAAAUUAAUAUAUUAAGUGAAUAUGUUAAUAGUUAUAAAUUGUGUAUUAUGAGUAUUAUUACUUACAUAUGUUAGUGGAAGAAUGUGGUCAUAAGUUUUCUUGAAACUCCUAUAACCACUAAGCUUUAUUGCCCAUUAUUCAUCCCUUUAUGUCUUAUAACUCUUGUAACAUAUGUAACCUCAAAGAUAUUCAUCUACCUGCAUUACUACCCCUCAUUUAUCCUAUUCAAUACAUUUACUACCCCUCAUUCAUCCUAUUCAAUACAUGGAAGAAUUCAUCACCUAUAAAUAGUUGUGUUUCUUCCUUUGAUGUGUAGAAGAAAAAAAUGUGAAGUGAAAGAGAGACUUGAGACAAAGAAAAUAUUUUAAGUCUUUAACUAUAUUCACUAUACAAAGAGAGUAAAUAUAUGUUGAAGGAAAGUGUUCUUAUGGUGGAGUUUUGGACUCUUCAACUAAUCCGGGGUUGUUUGAGUUAUACAUCGUUGAUGGGCUGUUGUAUCCUGGAGGGGACAAGUCACGAGAUAUACUGUUGGAUCGGUGUAGAUUAUGCCGCAGUGGACUUGAAUCUCCUUAAAGAAAGUGAGAUAUUCGCGCCUCAGCCAAGAAGAAGAUUAUUUUAUUUUCUUUACUUUUGUUCAUUUUAUUUUCAACUGUAAUGAUUAUUGUAAUUGUGGUAUAUUACACCAAUAAUUUUAAGGAGAUUCAUGUUUUGUUACAGCUUAAAAAAAUGCGGAUAUCAAAAUGGAGAUCUCAACAUCUCAACAUCAAUAGUCUCUUCAAGAGAUGAAAGGGAAGAGAUGAAGAGUAAAACAUUUU